This 244-nucleotide ribosomal RNA is filed under the name uncultured bacterium. RNAcentral describes it as "partial 16S ribosomal RNA". It matches the Rfam family "Bacterial small subunit ribosomal RNA", at positions 89 to 334 of the family's 1533-position model. The record is from RNAcentral.
UGACGACCGGCGCACGGGUGCGUAACGCGUAUGCAACCUACCUCUUACUGGGGAAUAGCCCGGAGAAAUCCGGAUUAAUGCCCCAUAGUAUUAUUUAAUCGCAUGAUUUGAAUAAUUAAAGGUUACGGUAAGAGAUGGGCAUGCGUCCUAUUAGCUAGAUGGUAAGGUAACGGCUUACCAUGGCAACGAUAGGUAGGGGGCCUGAGAGGGUGAUCCCCCACACUGGUACUGAGACACGGACCAG